AUGCUGGUUAAAUUGAAGGAUGGGCGGUGGGAAGUAACCCACUUUGUCCGUGAUCAUAAUCAUCCUUUGGUCCCCAAGCCUUCGCUCUCCAAAUACUUGCGAUCUCACAUGGGUAUACCGCCGGAGGAAAAGAAGUUCCUAGAGAUACUCUACAACUGCAACCUAACUUCAGGCCGUAUGAUGACUAUCAUGUCAGAGUUUUAUGGCUCGGAGCUAAAUGUACCAUAUGGGCCUAAAGCAAUAACAAACUUAUGUGCUGGCUUCUCCAAAGACUCAACGAAAGAGGGGGGCAUUAUUGAGACAAUUGAACAUUUUAAAGAGUUGCAAAAAGAUGAUCCAGACUUUUUCUAUAAGAUAAAAUAUGAUCCCGAAGGAAGGGCAGAAAACAUUUUUUGGGUGAAUGGCUUGGCAUGGAAAGCUUAUACGGAGGCAUAUCAUGAUUGUGUCUCCUUUGACACAACCUACAUGACCAAUAUGUACAACAUGCCUUUUGCUCCGUUCAUUGGAAUCAAUUGUCAUGGGUAA
This 525-nucleotide ribosomal RNA is filed under the name Triticum aestivum (bread wheat). Its description in RNAcentral is "partial small subunit ribosomal RNA". Lineage: Eukaryota; Viridiplantae; Streptophyta; Magnoliopsida; Poales; Poaceae. The record is from RNAcentral.